RNAcentral lists this ribosomal RNA (315 nucleotides) under uncultured bacterium. Its description in RNAcentral is "bacterial SSU rRNA". It matches the Rfam family "Bacterial small subunit ribosomal RNA", at positions 30 to 350 of the family's 1533-position model. The record is from RNAcentral.
CCUGAACGCUGGCGGCGUGGCUAAGACAUGCAAGUCGAACGGUGUAGCAAUACACAGUGGCGGACGGGUGAGUAAUGUAUCGCUAAUGUACCCUAGAGCUGGGGAUAGCUGCCCGAAAGGGCAGGUAAUACCCGAUGAAAUAAUCCUACCGCAUGGCAGGAUUCUCAAAAGCAGCAAUGCACUCCUGGAGCAGGCGAUAUCGUAUCAGCUAGUUGGUGAGGUAACGGCUCACCAAGGCGAUGACGCGUAGCUGGUCUGAGAGGACGGCCAGCCACAUCGGGACUGAGACACUGCCCGGACUCCGUACGGGGGGCG